GCAGUGAGUUACAGAAGAAUCAGGAGGAAUGGAGGCAGUAGAGCCUGUAUCUUUGGAGAGAAUGAUCAUUCCUGGGGUCUGAUUUACACUGAUGAUGAAAGGUACUUUAUCAGGCUCCAUCUGUACAUGGAGAAACUUUAUGAUGGAUUUUUACCUUGAUGAAGAAAACAUGGAUCAACCCAGGAAAGGUCUUUCCAUGUGAUCCGACCCUCUGUCUCUCUCUGACUCCUGGCAAAUUUAUUACAUUCAGAAAAUCACUCAGCCAGUUUUAGGGAAGGAUAAUUAUUUGUUCAACUUAUCUACUUUUGUCUAUUUGCUUGAUUUUAUUUUAUUUUAUGUUGCUGUUUGCAGUAGCUGCUAAACUCUGCAGAUUAACAUCAACAUCUUGCUGGAAGUUGUGGAAAUGUAAUUUUUGAGAUUGUUCCCUGUAAGAUUUCUUCAUGGUUUUAAAUUGAUUGAUGUUCUCAACAAAAUUACCAGAAGUUUUGAUCAAUAAAGUUAAAAACCCAAA
Molecule: long non-coding RNA, 511 nt
Organism: Xiphophorus hellerii (green swordtail)
Lineage: Eukaryota; Metazoa; Chordata; Actinopteri; Cyprinodontiformes; Poeciliidae
Exons: 2
Source: RefSeq, a predicted model, not a curated record